This 234-nucleotide ribosomal RNA is filed under the name uncultured bacterium. RNAcentral's name for it is "partial 16S ribosomal RNA". It matches the Rfam family "Bacterial small subunit ribosomal RNA", at positions 15 to 244 of the family's 1533-position model. The record is from RNAcentral.
GAUCCUGGCUCGGGACGAACGCUGGCAGCGCGCCUAACACAUGCAAGUCGAACGAGCGAGAGAGAGCUUGCUUUCUCGAGCGAGUGGCGAACGGGUGAGUAACGCGUGAGGAACCUGCCUCAAAGAGGGGGACAACAGUUGGAAACGACUGCUAAUACCGCAUAAGCCCACGGCUCGGCAUCGAGCAGAGGGGAAAGGAGCAAUCCGCUUUGAGAUGGCCUCGCGUCCGAUUAG